UGAAUACGAAAUGCUACGGCAUUGAAGUGAUCUAUGCCAGGCUUCCAAGAAAAUCUCGUCAUAUCUUAAGCAGUAGAUGCCUGUACCUUAAACCGACACAGGUAGGUAGGUAGAGUAUACCAAGGGGCGCGAGAUAACUCUCUCUAAGGAACUCGGCAAAAUAACCUCGUAACUUCGGAAGAAGAGGUACCCUUGAAAAAGGGUUGCAAUAACCAGACCCUGGCGACUGUUUACCAAAAACACAGGUCUCCGCUAAUUCGUAAGAUCAAGUAUGGAGGCUGACGCCUGCCCAGUGCCGGAAGGUUAAAGAAGUUGGUCAAUCUUUGGAUGAAGCUGGCGACUGAAGCCCCGGUGAACGGCGGCCGUAACAAUAACGGUCCUAAGGUAGCGAAGUUCCUUGUCGGGUAAGUUCCGACCCGCACGAAAGGCGUAACGAUCAGGGUGCUGUCUCGGAGAGAGACUCGGCGAAAUAGACAUGUCUGUGAAGAUGCGGACUACCUGCACCUGGACAGAAAGACCCUAUGAAGCUUUACUGUAUCUUGGAAUUGGGUUUGGGCCUUGCUUGCGCAGGAUAGGUGGGAGGCUGUGAAGAUAUUCUUGCGGGAAUGUUGGAGCCAACGGUGAGAUACCACUCUAGUAAGGCUAAAAUUCUAACUCUGAACCGUUAUCCGGUCAGAGAACAGUUUCAGGUGGGCAGUUUGACUGGGCGGUCGCCUCCUAAAAGGUAACGGAGGCGCGCAAAGGUUCCCUCAGGCUGGUUGGACAUCAGUCGUAGAGUGUAAAGGCAUAAGGGAGCUUGACUGCGAGACCCACAAGUCGAGCAGAGACGAAAGUCGGCCUUAGUGAUCCGACGGUUCCACGUGGAAGGGCCGUCGCUCAACGGAUAAAAGUUACUCUAAGGAUAACUGGCUGAUCUCCCCCAAGAGUUCACAUCGACGGGGAGGUUUGGCACCUUGAUGUCGGCUCAUCGCAUCCUGGGGCGGUAGUACGUCCCAAGGGUUGGGCUGUUCGCCCAUGAAAGCGGUACGCGAGCUGGGUUCAGAACGUCGUGAGACAGUUCGUCCAUAUCCGGUGCAGGCGUUAGAGCAUUGAGAGGAGUCCCCCUUAGUACGAGAGGACCGGGGGGAAUACACCGCUGGUGUACCAGUUAUCGUGCCAACGGUAAACGCUGGGUAGCCAUGUGUAGCGCGGAUAACUGCUGAAAGCAUCUAAGUAGGAAGCCCACCUUAAGAUGAGUGCUCUCACCGCUAUAAGCGGGUAAGGUCACGGUAAGAACAACCGUUAUAUAGGCAUUAAGUAUACGUGCAGUAAUGCAUUUAGCUGAGAUGUACUAACAGACCGAGGGCUUGAU
This 1351-nucleotide ribosomal RNA is filed under the name metagenome. Its description in RNAcentral is "bacterial LSU rRNA". It matches the Rfam family "Bacterial large subunit ribosomal RNA", at positions 1564 to 2925 of the family's 2925-position model. The record is from RNAcentral.